RNAcentral lists this long non-coding RNA (1931 nucleotides) under Strigops habroptila (Kakapo). RNAcentral's name for it is "lncRNA (ENSSHBG00005016660.1)". The record is from RNAcentral. Lineage: Eukaryota; Metazoa; Chordata; Aves; Psittaciformes; Psittacidae.
UUGAGGACUUUGAAACCAUACUUUUAUUUCAAAACUCAAGUAUGUGAUACUAUACAGUACAAUACCAGCACACUUGUGCAAAAUCUUACAAUAUUACAAAUUUAAAUAUGAUACACAAAAAUAGUGCCCUUUUAAAAUUCCUUUUACUAGAAACAUCUGUGCUGUGCAGGAAGAACAAUAAACGUGUCUUGUUAAAGCAGAAAAAUAAAUAUUGCACCUCAAGAAAACUAUUUCAGUGUUAACAGCAUAAAUAAUAGAUCUAUUUCUUGUUAUCUGAUGUGAUCUUUCAACACAGAAGAGAUUGGGGUUUUUUUUCCAGAUAAAGCAAACUAAUAUCCAACAGAUAAAAUUACAUUUAGAAUAGUUUUUGAGCUCAGUCUAGUUUCUUAUUAAAAAAGGUGUCUUCAUUAACUAACUGAAAAAUAUAAGCAAAAGUAUUUAAUGUGCUGUUAGUCAUUGUGGUUCAUUAUUACUAGUGGACAGUUUGCUCAAAGUAGUUAUAAAAAGAACAACUUUUUUUUUUUUAAAUAAACCUUAUCUUCAUCUUUUCAUCCCUAUUAAAAUCCCUUGACUUUUUCAGUGCAUUCCCCACAAUAACUAAAAACUGUGGAUAAAUUAUACUUGCCUUAGACAUGCAAGUAGUUCAGUUCAAAUCAGUACAACUACUUACAGAAAUCUGCCCUUGUGCAUUAAGUCCACAAAAAGUCAGUGUGCUGAAUUUCAAGACAGGAUGGAGACCUUAUUCACCCACUGACCAAAAAACCCUUAGCCCACGCUUAACAUGAAGCAGUUCAAGUGUCCUGUUGAUAUCAAUAACUUUCUAAAUUUCCUUACAAUAAUGUGUUGGACCCACAUCAAUGGAGAUGUAAAUCAGAGCAAAUUAAUUUAAUUAUAGGCACUGUUAAUUAUUUUUACUCAUUACCGUCCAACAUUUCCACAAUCACAUAAUCAAAUUUGUGCCAUAAUUUUUGGCACAGGGGACUCUGAAUCUUCAGGACUAUUUACGUUCAAUUUUUAUUGCCUUACUAUCAAUGCUAUUUGUAAAGACUAUCAAGUUAAAGAAGCUGAUUUUAAUAAAGAAGUAUUCAAAGAGCAACUGACAAGUUUCUUUAAAUACUGAAAGUAUGUGAAAUGUCACAGUAGUUCUUCAUAGUCAGGUAUUCUAACUGAACCAAACAGAUACCAAGUAAUUUACAAGAAACCUUCUUCUUAUUCUUUACCAAUUAUAGUUUUAGACCAAAUGACACUUGCCCAUUAUCCUUUUUGAACUUUCUUAAGCACACUCCUCAACAAUAUGUACUUUAAAAUAAAAAACAAACCUCCCAACUGCUUAUAGAGCUCACCCUUCCCCACCCCCAAAAAAAAAAAAAAAAAAAAAGUGGUGGUGGCUGCUUUGCUUUUUUUUUUAACUUCUUACUAAUUUUUCUUUUCUUUCUCCAUAUAAAUGUCUCUUAAUAAAUAUGGCUAAAGAUAUAAAGAAUGAAAUUCAUCAGCAGGAUAUUUGUUACUAGUGCCAGAUAUGUGAGUUAAAUUUCUGAGUUAGAAACCUGUUUUCUUUGAUAACUUGAGGUUCAGUGUUUACACCAACAGACAAUACUAACUGCAUCUGAACUGAAAUAACAGUACUUCAUAACACACUUAUCCUUCAGUUGUAAACAGACUUCUUAAUUAGUCAGAAAAUGGCAGAAGAAUGCAAGACACAAGUGCAAUCAGGUAUCAAACUGAUUUUGAUAUUGUGGUUACAUUCAAGCAUACAGUUAUGGAAAGACAAACAUAGUUCAUCUUCAAUCAGAAGUGACCAAUGUUCAGCAGGUACAUAUGGUAUACCUUUAGUGACAUGCAUUUUGGUCUCAGCCCUUUCAUAUAUUGAUUUGACAGUAUCAGCUGUGCCACCUAGACACAUUUUGUUGUGUAUCCCAUUUUAAAAAAAA